This 955-nucleotide unclassified non-coding RNA is filed under the name Veillonella denticariosi. Its description in RNAcentral is "partial contains 16S ribosomal RNA, 16S-23S ribosomal RNA intergenic spacer, and 23S ribosomal RNA". The stretch from base 847 to 955 matches the Rfam family "Bacterial large subunit ribosomal RNA", at positions 1 to 109 of the family's 2925-position model. Lineage: Bacteria; Bacillati; Bacillota; Negativicutes; Veillonellales; Veillonellaceae. The record is from RNAcentral.
UCGGAAGGUGCGGCUGGAUCACCUCCUUUCUAGGGAGACAUACACCGGGCCGAGAGCCUGGAUGUCACUUAGGUCGACACUUUGGCGAGUAAGUAGACGUAGCAUAUGCGCUAGCAGUACUUAUAACCUAACAUUGUUCGGUUUUGAGAGAUCUGUUAUCUACAAGAUAAUGAUUUCUUAUAAUAUUCAAUGGGCCUAUAGCUCAGCUGGUUAGAGCGCACGCCUGAUAAGCGUGAGGUCGGUGGUUCGAGUCCACCUAGGCCCACCAUUGAAACAUGGGGGCGUAGCUCAGUUGGGAGAGCACCUGCCUUGCAAGCAGGGGGUCAGGAGUUCAAAUCUCCUCGUCUCCACCAUUUAGUAUUUAAUACAUUAAAUACUAAACUGACUUAAGUUUAAGUCAACUACAAUUUAAUAGAUUUCGAUGGCUAUCUAGGCGCAUGAGAUGAACGACGUCGCCGCGUAAUGGUAAUUACGCAAGACAAGUGAAGCGAAUGCAACGACGAUAGACGCGAACUAUAUGAAUUGUUUGUUCUUUGAAAACUGCAUAGAAGAAUUAAUAUAUAUUUGUAAGGUCAUCUCUCAGAAUUUCUAAGUAGGUUGACCCGAGCACAUAGGAAAUAAUUCUCUGACUUAAUGGUGACGUACAUGAAAAUGUACGGCUACAAAAAACGACAAUGUAUCUAAUGCAUGUCAAUAUUAUCUCUCAUGUAUUCAAUCAUGAGAUUUUUGUUAGCAUUUGAUGCAUAUCUAGGAGCCUGAGCGAGAUGAAGCCGCCGCGUACUGUCGUACGUAAGGCAAAAUCGAGCGUGGGGCGACGACGAUAGGCGCACAUGCUAACGCAAAAUAAGUAAAGAUAAUAAGGGCGUACGGUGGAUGCCUUGGCGAUAUCAGCCGAAGAAGGACGCGGUAAGCUGCGAAAAGCUACGGAGAGGUGCAAGCAACCUUUGACCCGUAG